Molecule: ribosomal RNA, 301 nt
Filed under: uncultured bacterium
Lineage: Bacteria
Description: partial 16S ribosomal RNA
Rfam family: Bacterial small subunit ribosomal RNA
Source: RNAcentral
CAGUCGCCACGGUAAAACAGAGGGUGCGAGCGUUAAUCGGAUUUACUGGGCGUAAAGCGUGCGUAGGCGGCUUUUUAAGUCGGAUGUGAAAUCCCUGAGCUUAACUUAGGAAUUGCAUUCGAUACUGGGAAGCUAGAGUAUGGGAGAGGAUGGUAGAAUUCCAGGUGUAGCGGUGAAAUGCGUAGAGAUCUGGAGGAAUACCGAUGGCGAAGGCAGCCAUCUGGCCUAAUACUGACGCUGAGGUACGAAAGCAUGGGGAGCAAACAGGAUUAGAUACCCCUGUAGUCCCUGUCUCUUAUAU